Misgurnus anguillicaudatus (oriental weatherfish) is the source of this 995-nucleotide non-coding RNA. NCBI's taxonomy places the organism in Eukaryota, Metazoa, Chordata, Actinopteri, Cypriniformes, Cobitidae. The record is from RefSeq and is a predicted model, not a curated record.
AUAAGCAAAAGCUCCUUUAAAUUUCGUCAUUUUUUAUACACAUCCCGUUUAUUUUGUAGUUAAUUGUUAGAUAAGUUAGUCAUUUCGUCAAGUUUUCGUUAUAGGGUAAGAUUUCGUUACCAUAUACAGUAAAUAUUGGUUCAAGAGCGCAGUUUGAUAACUCAUUCGAGGUUUGUAAAUGGUAAAUAACUUAUUCGAGGUUUGUAGCCAUAUUUAAGUUACUCGCUUACUUUGUUUCAGUGUUUGAGUAAAUGUUAUAAAGUAAUAAUUAAUAUAAGUUACUGCGCGAGCUCAUUACGGCCGUUUCUCAAUCCGAAGGCUACUGGAGGUAGCAUUUGUAGGCUGUAUACGUCAUCAAGACUGUCAGACUUAAGAAUAUUAACAAUUAUAAAGGUGACUAUUAUUCUUAGUUAAUCGUAAAUUGUUGUAAUAUGCGUAUGACUUGCGAAUGUAAUGCUCAUUUAACUUAAAUAAACCAGGCUUGAUGACGUAUGCAGCCUGCAUAUUCGACCUCCGGAGGAUGCAGCCUUCCGUUUGAGAAACGGCCUACAAGUGUGAGCGUGCGCGAGAUUCUGUCUGAAUUGAUUCUUUAAUAAUGGCAAAGCAAAGCAUUUUAAGGUUUAAAUUAAAACGCCUAACUUACCUUUCCAGGGGUUUCUGUUCCUACAGUCUUUCAGCGGUGCUGGCGCGUAUGACGAUGCGGACAUAAACAGCACACUACAGUAUACCGCCACCUACUGUACUGUAGUACAAUAACGUCCUUUAAACAUCUAAACAUGUCCUCCAAAAAGGUUUCCUGUGCUGUUUUGCUCCAUUUUACUGAACAAAAUAAGGCUGAGGUAGCACCAUCCUUGUGGUUAGAGUGAAAGAAUGUGGGUAUUGAGACCAAAAUAAACAAUGUGCCAUUCUGGACAAACAGCUGUGGACAAUAUAUGCAGUCAGAGUAGCCUAUUUUCUCACACAGAUGAGGAGCAACCAGUAAGAAAAAGCAAAAA